UACGGAGGGGGCUAGCGUUGUUCGGAAUUACUGGGCGUAAAGCGCGCGUAGGCGGAUUUGUAAGUCAGGGGUGAAAUCCCGGGGCUCAACCUCGGAACUGCCUUUGAUACUGCAAAUCUCGAGUCCGGAAGAGGUGGGUGGAAUUCCUAGUGUAGAGGUGAAAUUCGUAGAUAUUAGGAAGAACACCGGUGGCGAAGGCGGCCCACUGGUCCGGUACUGACGCUGAGGUGCGAAAGCGUGGGGAGCAAACAGG
RNAcentral lists this ribosomal RNA (253 nucleotides) under uncultured bacterium. Its description in RNAcentral is "partial 16S ribosomal RNA". It matches the Rfam family "Bacterial small subunit ribosomal RNA", at positions 524 to 776 of the family's 1533-position model. The record is from RNAcentral.